This 459-nucleotide long non-coding RNA is filed under the name Lepisosteus oculatus (spotted gar). RNAcentral's name for it is "lncRNA (ENSLOCG00000022733.1)". Lineage: Eukaryota; Metazoa; Chordata; Actinopteri; Semionotiformes; Lepisosteidae. The record is from RNAcentral.
AUGUAUCAAAGUCUGCCGCUGGCAUCUUGGGAUAGAAAUGUCAUCCUAGCUUAUCCCCACGCCUGAACUAGCUGGUGGCCUUUUCUGAAGCAGGAACAAAAUUAGGUGAUUCAAUUAAUAGCCAUCUUUAUGUUUCAAGGAUUACAGCGCUUGGGCUACAUUAUGGGGAAAGACAGACAAGAGGAACAGUGAAGCAAAUAAAAAUGUGGGCAUGGCACAGUUUUCAGGGAAAUGCUAAAUAAGAAGUCAGCAGCACCUGGUUUAAUGGCUUUCACUGCUGCGCGUUCCAGUACCUAUUCUCAUACCAACGGUCCUGUGAUUGCUUUUGAGUUCUUGCUAUGAAUUUCUAGUAACUGGACUACCCCCCUGACAAGGAAGACAAUAGACAGAUCAGAAACAAAACAUCAAUGUGCACCCAUGUACAGAAUCUUUCUAUUUUUAUAUAUCAAAGAAAUAAAC